UCUGAUAUCAGUUUUCCAUGCAUCAACACAUGAACUGGGGCACCUGUAAUAAAUAUUUUCCUUUUGCGAUGAUACAGAUGUUCAUCAACACUCGAGAGGAGUCUUCAUUCAUGUUAGAUGUCCCUGGUUUCAAAGAUGCAUGCAGUCGAAGCAAAAGGACGAAGCCACAGAACGGUACCCUUCUUGUUGCUGCUGAAGUGAAACCUAGAGAUAAAUUUGUUCUCUCUGUUAGUUCAGAGCAUUGGAAUUCAAAAUAACUGCAGUUACAUACAUGUCAGAGGCUUGGGUACCCACGAUAAAGGAAGAUGCUAUACAACCUGACAAGGCAAGGAUAUUAACAGACGUGAAGGCAGUCUUCAUACAUGCACAUGUUACCGGUAGAUGUCCCCGGUAUCACUGAGGGAAAUGCAGUUGAACCAGGACUGGUCCACAGAAUGGAUGGGAAUAUAAUGCGGUUACUUAUCCAUGCACGGCUACCCAAUAUGAAGGAAAAUGUUGGACAACCAAUUGCAAAGAAAAUAACAAGAUGACACGGAAGAAUGUUUAACAACACAUACAGGGAGGAAGUCUGUGGUGUCCCAGGUGUUGUCAGUGGAAAUGCAAGAUUGUUCUGCAGAAGGACUUCAUCAAAAUACCAAGAUGAUCUGAAAAACUGCAUACAAUAGGACAUGAGAAGUACUAUAUGUGUACAAGGCCCAACACUUUUUUCAAAAUUACCGCAGAAAUUGUGAUUACAAGUUUCCGAAUUAUGUGAUGUUUUCCACAUUCACAAGAGCCUCAUAUUUUGUGUUCCCUUGUCUUCUUAAGUAUGUCUGGAAAUCUGGGCCAAAAAACACCUCACCGAUUUUAUAUACAUGUAAUACACAAUAGUAAAAUCUCCUAAAGCACAUACAAAAGCAGUUUUUCCCUUAAUGUGUCAUAAAUGAAGAGAAGGACACUUGAGCAUUCAACUCUGAUAAUCCUUUAACCUCUAGACCAGGUUUCAUGUUCAAUACUUUGAGUAUAUUUUUCAACAUACACUUAAAUUCCACAUUCAGAGUUCUGAUGUGCACUUGCAGAUUUUUCAAAUAGGCAACAAGAAGUUGUACUUUUGAAGGAAUUGUGUGAAAUUGAUGUAUGUGUUAGUUUCUUCCCAUCUUUAAAAUUGACAUUUCUAAGUUUGUGUAUACCAAUAUCCCUAACAAUUCCCAUUCCUCUGAUUUUAAGAUUUUACAUACACCCUAGACCGUCAGGGUUGAUCAAAUGUAAACACAACAGAAGAAGAUCAUCAUUCGCGCUAUCAAACCCUUAUGAGAAAACUGAACUGCUCCCUCACAUGAUGAACUUCAACAUUUCGUAGUAGUACUACCUGAUUGAUAUUAAAUUGUACGUUCCAACAAAGCAACAGUUACAAACACUGGUAGUCUAUUAAUUAUACGAGCUUAAGGUACACAAAAUAAAUUCAGUGCACAUAUUUGAAAU
This is a long non-coding RNA of Acanthaster planci (crown-of-thorns starfish), 1461 nucleotides long. RefSeq lists it as uncharacterized. Lineage: Eukaryota; Metazoa; Echinodermata; Asteroidea; Valvatida; Acanthasteridae. The record is from RefSeq and is a predicted model, not a curated record.